This is a long non-coding RNA of Ornithorhynchus anatinus (platypus), 1747 nucleotides long. RefSeq lists it as uncharacterized. The transcript has 2 exons. The record is from RefSeq and is a predicted model, not a curated record. NCBI's taxonomy places the organism in Eukaryota, Metazoa, Chordata, Mammalia, Monotremata, Ornithorhynchidae.
GGAAGCAGAGGGGGAAGGAAGGCUCUCUUUUCUCUCCUCUGAAGCUAGUUUAUACUGUGACCUGCCUGGAUCGAAGAAGAUGCUUCAUGAAAAAGGCCCCCUAAAAGCAUGAAGGAUUCUGCAACUAUGAUUGAGGUGUUGGAGCCUUGCAAAUUCAGCUGGAUUCAUUUUGAAAAAUAAGAGCGCUCUCUCUGAGGCCACCAAGGGACAGUAUUUGGCUCUCUACCAUUGUACGGGGCACAAUAGCCAAUCCGAUGAAAUCCACAUCCCCUCUUUGGAUUGAGAGGGAAGGCGCCAAAAGCAUUCCAGGCAGGCCAAGUUUAACAAGACUGAGUUAAUCUGCUCUGAAAGCUUGCUUUGGGACCUUGUCCGUCUAGCUUACCACAUAGUUUCCAAGGAAAAUGGAACUUUAGCCAUAAAUCUGAGUGAAAGGUGUCUUGUGAGAAAACGAUGCAUCACUGUUUCUGUAGGACUCCAUUAACCUUCACACCAUACGCGCUGUAACUAAAAUGAAACUAAUGAAGCGGACAGGAGAUGGGCUGAAAAGCGUGAAUCGACGGGAUCGUUGGGUCCAGGAGAAGUUGAAUUUACAUUUAAGGCCGAAAAAUGUUUUGUCAGUCCUCAGAAAUCCUGGUGAUGACCAGGUUAUUAUAUAAAUAAAUGGUGAAAAUGAACAAAACUUUACUGCAGAUGCUCCUGGUUUUGCAUUGUCUUUCCUCCCUUGCAGCGUUGUCUGAGCUCAGGUCAGAGAAAUCUGGGCAUGCCAACAUUGGGUCAUGUAUUUAACAGGAGAGGUGAAUCUAAAAAAGGAGUUGGGGAUUUCCUUUCUUCCAGUUGGAAAAUUAAAGUACUGGGUGAAGAUAGGCUGUCCUGCAGGACUCACAUUCCCCAGUCAACCCAUGUCCCCAGGUGCUGAUUUUUACAACGAUGCUUCAGGGAGGUGAUGCUAAGGGUUUGAUACUUUCAUAGUUUACUUUUCUUUCGAACAGCUGGGAGGUAAAGGAUUUUUAGAGCUGCUAGCAGUGCGGUUGCAAUUAUUCAGUAGUGCAGGAUGACAAAAUGUGUAUUUAUGGAGGUGGGGAAAAAUUGCAGCCAUGAACAUUGUCGUUUAUGUUGCUUGGAUUCUGUUGAAUAUAAUUUUUUGGUUGAGUGGGUUUGAAUAGGCAAACCUGGAGUCAUUCAAAUCUCUACUGUGUCAAACCUUAAUCAGUUACACAUAACAAGCUAUAGUAUGGAUCAGGUGUUCAAUAAUUACAUUAAUUAGAGAAGAGCCAUUGAUUCUAUGUUGGCAGAUAUAAGGCAGAGAUGCUUUUUGGGUUUCCUGAUAACUGAUCAGACCAGAAGGAUUCCAGAUUAUAAAUCUGAGUCAAUAUUUUGCUGGCAAAGCACUGAGGGAGGAAAAAAGUAUCCACUUUUCAGAAGAACUUGGCCGAAUGUAUUAUUAAUGCAAAGAUGAUCAGAUAAAAAACUGGAACGUGGUGAGCUGUCAAAUAAAAAAUGCAGAGUAAAUCAAAAAUUUAUAAAACUGUAUUGAGUUAUUACAAUUCUAUUAUAGACACCAGUAAUCAUUUUUUUUUCUGAAGCAUAUUCCUUAUAUUGCUGUACCACUGAGAUGUUGGGAUGCAAGGAUUUAGGAUGAUGAAACUCAUUUUUUUUGAAUAUCAUUAAAUUAAAAAUUAAAUGUAAAUAGUAAAUGAUUUAGCUACAGCUUCGGCAACAGAUUGAAUAAAAACAAUAGAGUUCAAAA